CCAGCUCCAGAGUUUCUUGGGCUCGACUAACUUCUACAGACCUUUCAUCCCUAGAUUUUUACAUUGCCUCACUUCAGUUAAACUAAAUUCACCUGGAACCCUGGCACUGACAAGGCACACUUGAUCUCGCCAGGCCCCACACAGCAGUUUGAUGUUUAAAGGAGUCAUAUCAUGCUUUUCAUUCUAAAAAAAUAUUAGACUUUAAUGUCUCAGUAAGGUCUCUGUAAAUUUUCAUCCCAUAAAACCCUUUAGAUCGUCCACACUGCCCCUGUCAAUGUGUGGUUUUCACUCUCCAUCAGCAAACGCUGUGUUUUCUGGGCGUGUCGCAAGCGAAGCUGCUCACCACACCUCUGUGCGGAAGCGCAUACCUUUUUUGUUGUUGUUUUUUUUUUAAAAUUGGCUCCAUGGAUACGAGCCACCGCACGGUUACGAUACAAUAGGUGGCAGUAGUGCGACAUUGAGAAUGCAAUCCACCACAAUCCUCCACAGAAGAAGAAGACCCACUGCAGAACUGCACAACAUUAGCCAGCUGAUUCGUAGCGUUGUAGAACCAUACGUCUACGAUCCCGAAUCUGACCCUGAAGCUGAAGAGGAGGCUGUUGAAGUCACCACAUUUCGGCUGAUGCAAGAUGUGUCUCAUUGUUGUUACAGGUAUCUAGUCUACAGAGGCUAGUGAGCUGGUGCUGAGGAUUCCUGGGGUGAAGAAUCUGAGUUGCCAUCUCUUCAUGCUUGGGUUGUAGAUGAAGGCAGUUUCCUGAUGGAUAAAACACUAAAACACUCAUAGUAUGAUUGAUGUAGACCACCUGUAGAAUAACUCCUUUACCGUUUGAGUAAAAAUGUGUUUUUUGUGAGUGCAACACUCAUUAAGAAUUUUUUUAACUUUAUUUAUAUAUAAUUUAUAUGCGUUUUAUUUAUGGCCGCUUCAACUUUAUAGCUUACCAUAUUAGAAAGAGAAAAACAUGUAAUUUCAAUACUAUGAUUUCCUAAAUAAAAGUGUUUUCCCUUCAGAAA
Betta splendens (Siamese fighting fish) is the source of this 1011-nucleotide long non-coding RNA. RefSeq lists it as uncharacterized. The transcript is spliced from 2 exons. The record is from RefSeq and is a predicted model, not a curated record. Lineage: Eukaryota; Metazoa; Chordata; Actinopteri; Anabantiformes; Osphronemidae.